Molecule: long non-coding RNA, 3452 nt
Organism: Haplochromis burtoni (Burton's mouthbrooder)
Lineage: Eukaryota; Metazoa; Chordata; Actinopteri; Cichliformes; Cichlidae
Exons: 2
Source: RefSeq, a predicted model, not a curated record
CAUACAUUUUGGUGAAAAUAAUAGCGGAGCCGAGCACAGCUCCUGCUCAGUCGAGGCAGAGGGAAGAAAAUCUCAGGGAGCACCGAGUCGUAGGAAAAAGACACACAGAUAACCGUUUCCAGGCUGCACGCGAGCAACGGUGAAGCUUAUUUAUUACCCCCCACCUCACACACACAACACCACCCAACACACACUCACACACACCGACACCGACCAUCACUGGCACCAGCUCCACUUUUCUCGGAUACGAGGAGCGCCACACUCCCCUGGUGCACACACACAUUCAUAUAUACUCAAACACACACACCAAACUUUGGUCACCCCUCCUUGCCCCCCUGUCCCCCCCCUUCAUCCUCACCCCUGAUGCAACACCUCUGGAGGUAAGGGUUGCAUGUGUGUGUGUUUGUGUGUGUGUGUGUGUGUGUGCUUGCACUGUCUCUCUCUCUCUCUCCCCCCAGCGAAAGCGGACACGUCGUCUCCCCAGCUUCCGUUUUCCUCUGCACGCCUGCUGCUGGAGUAUUCACGCUUCAGGCUGUUUUCUUUGAGAGAGGGAGAGAGGAAGACAGAGUAUAAAAAUAUGCAAAUGCUAUUGUUGAAGCGCAGAAUGAAGGAGGGUGGGGGUGCUCCUUUUACACCUCCUCACCUCCCCUGUCGCCACUGCUGCCACUGCUGCUGCCACCGUCACCACUUCCACCUCCGUCCAUCCAUCUAUCCAUGUAGAGUGAGGGAGAGAGGGGACAUUCAGGUGGCACAGCAGGGGCAGGUUAUUAAAAAUAUACUUAAAGGCCACCAUUAUCUCUAUCAGUUCAGGCUUUUCCCCCCAAAAUCCAGCGGUAGACCGACGGAUAUAUCAGAGAAAGAAGGAAGGAAAUGUGCAGCUAUUUAGAUAAUGAACUACAAAAGAAGUACAUAUGUAAACCCCCCAACACAAGGAGGGAGGGGCAGGGACUUCACAUUACACUGUAUAUAAUAUAUGCAUAUGACUAAACAGAAGCAGCAAUAGGCGUACACAUAAAUCUCAGUCAAACUGAAGCGAUGGAGGGCUACAAGCUGUGGCCUAAUUGCAGGGCUGUGCACACCACCCACACAGGUGUUUUCACUGUGUGGAAGUUAAAGGUGUUUAAAGGGUCAUUACGGCGUUUACUGCAGUAACUGCAGCAACUGCAGCAAAUGACGGUUGCAAGUUUGCAAGUGGAGGAAGGGCUUCUGCUCAGAACAUCCCUGCCUGAAUCAUUUACUUAAUGGGAGUGCUGUUUUGCUGAUGAUUUGCUAUAUUAUCCACUGUUUAGCACAUUAUAAAUAAUACUUAUGGAGCUUGGCUGUAUUUGUACUAUUAGCAUGGAUGCAUACCGAGACUGCAGUUCCUCCAAUGGACACUCGAGGCUGGAUCUGAACAUGAGACUCCCAAGUUAAAAUUUUCAUCUUUAUAUUAGGUUUAAACAUGCUGCUAAUAAUGCAUAUCUUUAGCUAAUAUAAAUGCCAUUUGUGGCAGUUAACUAACCUUUCAUUCUCUUUUGUGUGUGAUAUAACAAAAAUAAAAGAUCUCUGACAGGCACGGGUUUGUACGCCAAGCAUCAGUGGCAAAAAGUUCCCCUAAUGGCCACUUGAGGCUGGCUCUAAACGUGAGUCAACCCCCAUAGACUCCCACGUUAAACAGCCAAACUUUACAUUAGAAAUAAAUAUGUUUACAGCCCAGUCCAAUUAAUAGUUUUGCUCUUUAUGCUGAUUUAGCUCUGUACAGGAGGUGACCUUUAAUUGAAGUUAUAAUAAGGCCUAUUUAUUGAGGGUUUAUUGAGGGUGUGGCCACUUUGACUGACAGGGUGGGAGCAGAAUGAGCCACUAGGAGUCACCCAGCAGGUUUUUUGACCAUGAAAACAUUUUAAAGUAACAUUACGACAAAUAAUGUCUCAAUUCCCAGUUAACUGUACUAAUAGACUGUUUAAGAAGUCUGUGCCCUAGUUUUGGAUGCACCUGACCUAGCACUCGUCCCACUUUAGACAUAAUGCUGAAAUCAAACCUCCAAUUGAAUUGGUGACAUUAUAAUGGCUUAAUAUGACGCGCAGGUUGGAGAAGAUGCUUAGUUGUCUUUUUUCCACGAUAAAGGUGGAGAAGAAUGAACACAACGCUUUUCUAGCCCACUAAUAAAAAAGCAGAGGCUAAAGCAGACAUGGAAGCACACACACCCAACCAGAGAGACUGAGAGGCAGUACGAGUGUAGCCCUGUGAAAGUGGGAAGCCCAUUUGUAAAGCCCUCACGCUCUCAGGAAGACUUUUUGAAGUGAUUAUGAAGACAGUUCAGAUCAAAGGAUUUGACAAGUCUGAGUGCGCGCCAAAUACGAGGCCGGGUAAUCACGCUGAAGCCCCUCCAUACAAGAUGGCAGUGGUCCCCCCAGCUGCUUUGCAAAUGUAAUGCGACACUUGCGGAUAAACAGAUUAUGAAGAAAUGGAGGGGUUGGGGGCGGGGGCGAAGGGGACUGAAAAGAAAAAAAAAUGACUUCACAACUUGUAGAAAUUAGAGGAGGGGAAAUAGUUUAUUUAAUGAACUCUGGGGAUGGGCAGUGUCAAAGAAAUGAUGAUUAAUUCUGGAGCGCUGAUACAGGUCUAAACGAUAUAAUUUGGGAAUAUUAGCGGGAACAUUAGAUGAUGAGGCAGUAUUUCUCGUGCUAGUAUCUCAGACUCGAGGCUCCAGAGACUGUUUUUUUUCUCUCCUUCCUUUCUCUUUCCCUUCACUAGUUAUUAUAGAUUAAUCCAUAAUCCUCACCACCUAAAGACAUUUUUGUCAGUAAAGCUCAGGGAUAGAGCCGGUAGAUUUUUUAUUUUUUUGGGGGGAAUAUAUCUCUGCUCCUGCUCAUUUCCCCUCAGCAUGAUGUCACAUUGUCACAUCUACUGAAAACACUCCAUCGCCAGCUCCUCUCAGAUAUACCGUUUCAUUUCGGUAGAGCUGAGGUGGGACUUAUCAGUUUAUGUAACCGGAAAUUUUCUACAUCAUGUACACGAUUCCCAUUUAUUCAACAUCAUGUCAAGUUGAAUGUGAUGUUCGGCGCUCACAGUAAGACAGAAACGCUCAUAAUGUGUUGAUAUGAAUCAUUUUUUUCCUGCUUUUUUUUCUUCUCUUCUUUUAUGAAUGAGCUCAAGUAGCAAAGUAUUGUAAGCUGUGCAGCCGUGCUGUAAUGUCAGAUAAUGCACUUUUCACUGUACACGAAGGGAUUUUUGUGCCUGUUCUUCAUGCAGUGUUUUAAUUCCAAACUCCAUUGAAAAAACAAUCGAUUUUAUUGCUGAUUUGUUCGCUGUGUCUGUGCAGCAUUUCAAAGCUGUGGAGCAGAGCCGGAUAAAGUGAUAGCUAUCUUGAUUGCAGAAAGUACUACAAAGCAAUUUGAUGUAUAACAAUGUCGUCACAGUGAAAACAUGCGUCUUCAAAUGUGGGUUAUUAACCAUUAAAGAAAAAAAAGAAA